Molecule: ribosomal RNA, 253 nt
Filed under: uncultured bacterium
Lineage: Bacteria
Description: partial 16S ribosomal RNA
Rfam family: Bacterial small subunit ribosomal RNA
Source: RNAcentral
UACGUAGGGUGCAAGCGUUAAUCGGAAUUACUGGGCGUAAAGCGUGCGCAGGCGGUGAUGUAAGACAGAUGUGAAAUCCCCGGGCCCAACCUGGGAACUGCAUUUGUGACUGCAUCGCUGGAGUGCGGCAGAGGGGGAUGGAAUUCCGCGUGUAGCAGUGAAAUGCGUAGAUAUGCGGAGGAACACCGAUGGCGAAGGCAAUCCCCUGGGCCUGCACUGACGCUCAUGCACGAAAGCGUGGGGAGCAAACAGG